GAGGAAAGUCCGGGCUCCACAGGAUGCCGUGGUGGAUAACGUCCACCGACCGCAAGGUUCGGGAAAGUGCAACAGAGAACAGACCGCCGAUCGCUGCGGGGCAACUCGCGGCGAGGUAAGGGUGAAACGGUGAGGUAAGAGCUCACCAGCGGGUCGGGCGACCGACUCGGCUCGGCAAACCCCACGGGGAGCAAGGCCAAGCAGAGAGGAGACUUCGGGCGGCUUCGGUCACUCGGCGUCGCGGGGCGAUUCGUUCCGUUAUCACUCUCGGGUAGGCUGCCAGAGGCGGCGGGCAACCGUCGUCCUAGAGAAAUGAUCGUCGCGACGGCGCAGGCCGUCGGACAGAACCCGGCUUACGAAUUCCGACAGAACCCGGCUUA
RNAcentral lists this RNase P RNA (380 nucleotides) under unidentified bacterium CPB72. RNAcentral describes it as "partial RNAase P". It matches the Rfam family "Bacterial RNase P class A", at positions 43 to 367 of the family's 367-position model. From Rfam's summary of the family: Ribonuclease P (RNase P) is a ubiquitous endoribonuclease, found in archaea, bacteria and eukarya as well as chloroplasts and mitochondria. Its best characterised activity is the generation of mature 5'-ends of tRNAs by cleaving the 5'-leader elements of precursor-tRNAs. The record is from RNAcentral.